Long non-coding RNA from Helianthus annuus (common sunflower), 3229 nucleotides. RefSeq lists it as uncharacterized. The transcript is spliced from 4 exons. Lineage: Eukaryota; Viridiplantae; Streptophyta; Magnoliopsida; Asterales; Asteraceae. The record is from RefSeq and is a predicted model, not a curated record.
UAUGCUUAGUAGUGACCAUCAAACAUUAUUAUUGAAAUAUAACAUGCUCUGUCAGGUGAAACGGGCUGGUUUAGAAAGUGGACGUUUGGUUUCGGUCAGCUUGUAGUCAUGCAUGUUUUUGUAAUGAUUAAACCCUAACAGAUGGAGACACAUUUGGGACUUUUAUUAGCCAAGAUGAAGCUGAUUCUGACCUAUUAGAGGCUGCCCACGAAGGAGCUGGUUGGAGUCACUAUUUCCGGCAGUUGCAAGGGGCUGCGGGUGUAUGGCGUUUAAAAGCAAUUGAAGAUGUGAGUGGCUGGAAAGAUAGAACAACUAUGGAGGACAUGGAUCAUGCAGUUUGGGCUAGCCUCAAUGGGUCCAGUAGAAGGCUUUUCCCCACAGGUAAGGUUUGCUCCAAAAUCUGUAUGGGCGGGUCCAGUAGCGGGUGAAAAUAAAGUAUUUUUUUCGAUUCAAUUUGAUUUCUUUAGAAAAAAAGGAUUGAUCGAUCUCUCAGUGUGUAGAAUUCUAAGUCAUACAAAGGUGGUUGUGACCGAAAACAAUCGUACGAAGUCUAUUCUUGUCGGGUUACACGGUGUCGUCAAGAAGGCUGCUGCAGGUCUUGGAGGCUGGCGUUCGCUGGUAAUUUUGUUGGGGAUUUAAUAAUUUUUAAAUUCAAAAGAAGGUUUUAAUGUUGUUCUUUAAGUGGAAUUGUUUUGUUUUGUUUUUUUUUAACAUUUUUGCUGACUGAUGAUUAUGUUAUUAACUUUUAUUGACAUCUUAAGUGUACUGCUUGUGACACCAAUUGUGAUUAUGUUGAUGUAUAUGAUUAUGUGUUACGUAAUAUUGUAAUGUAGAAAACUAGGGUUAUUUGUUGCUCGUAAUUAAUACUAAACUAGAUAACUUGCUUCAUCAAUUUGAAACUGAUAAUCGAACCUAUAACUGUUUUUUGAGUUUUUAGCUUAUUCCUAACAGAUCGAUUUUGGUCAUAAAGAGUUAGAUUACUUAGGUUAUUCGAAAAGAUGAUCCGGUUAGCUGCUGACUGUUGGCUUUACACGUGAGUGGAUUCAAGCUAAUAAGUUCAACUGUAUCUUGAGUGGAACAAGGUCUUUUUAAGCAAGGUACGUAUAAAUGCGCCAGGUUUUAGAUGCAGUUGGGCAAUUCGUCCCAACUAACGAAUUGCGAACCCGAACCGGAGCGAACCGCGAAUUAGGUGACUAUGGUGGGGAAUGUUAUUGAAAUCGUUGUCAUUAAAUUUAUUAUCUCUUUAUAUAAGAUGUGCUGGAAUCUUGGUGCACGCCGGCUUAGAAUCUGGCAAAUUUAAGACAUUGUUUACAUUACAGUUUAAAAAUGUUCAAUUGCAAGGAAAUUAAGACAAUCUUUACUGGUUGUUGUGUAAGUAAGUUGCUUUUGAAUUCAUGCAGGUAUGGGGUUUGGUUUCUUGGCUACCUUGGCUGGAUUAACCUGGUUGUAUUUUGGCAUCAAGAAGAGAAACCUGGUGAAACUUAGACAAAAGAUGUUCCAAAGAAAUGGUGGUUUGCUACUACAACGACGCGAACUAUUUCGACGCGAACCGUUUCGACCCGAACCCGUUCCAACUUUUAUUCAGCUUUGUAUAUUCCUAAUAUCUGUAGAAAGUCAUUUUGCUUCAUGCUUUCGGUUUAUAUGAUCUUGGCCACUUGGGUAUGUUUGAUACAUGCAGGGAGCAGUUCCAGAUAUCCUAGCUAAAACGAAAGACGACCAGUACCGUUUCUGGCCAGCUGAAGGUUAUCCAUUCAGCCCGGGCAAAUGCUACACACAAUCAUGGAUUUGAUGCAGAUAGGCUUAUUGUUGCGGAAGCGUGAUUAUUCAAGAAACGAGUGUCGUAUCAUGCAAAAGGAAGAAGCGGAGUAAGAGUGAGACCCGUUUUGACCCCCGACCUGACCCGUUUGCCAGGUAUUAUUAAUUACGGCCAAUGAUUUGGAGAUUGCAACCAACAAUUAUGCCAAGGAUAUGAUUCUGGGCCAAGGUGACUUUGGUACUGUGUAUAAAGGUAUUUUGCAUGACAAACGAGUGGUAGCAAUCAAGAAGUCCAAAGAAAUGGAUGAUAGCCAAACAGUGGCGAAGCUUGACAUGUUCGACGGGGGGGUCGGAAACGUAUAUACCCAAAAAUUUCUAUAGAACCGGGGGGUCAAAAACGCAUAUACCCAAACCUUUCUAUACGAAAACUACACUACUGAGCGAAAAGUUCGGGGGGUCGGGCGCCCCUCCCGGCCCCUUCAAAGCUUCGCCAAUGUAGCCAAAUACAACAAUUCAUAAAUAAAGUAGUCAUCUUAACACGAGUUAACCAUCGGAAUGUGGUCAAGUUCUCUUGGGGUGUUGUUUAGAGACAGAUUCCAUCAUUGGUUAUAUCGUCGGUGACUUCUAUUAGUUAUAAAAAUAAAGAUGUAUGUUUGGUAACGGGUUUAAGAACUAUUCGAAUGUGUUUAUUGGGCCAAACAAAUAGGCGACAAAACAAAUGUACCCGCGGCAACGCGCGGGCAUUCCCAUUAGUAGUUAAUAAUUCACAAGCUAGGUGUUUGAAUACAAAAUGGCUCCUCUUAAUUAUAUAUAGGCCGACAUAUCUCCAAUUUUAGUAACUUAAACAUCUUGCAAGUGAAUCCCACGCACUUGGAGUUUGGUGAUGUUACUUACCACCAUGAAUGCUGACCCAUCAUGAUAAAACCAUGAACCAUUGCAUGCGGUCACAAUUUUGCUCUACACGUGUGAAAGGUAACAUGCAUAUAUAUAAACUUCACUAAGCAGCCUCUGCUUGCCGCUACAGCAGCUUCCUCGUCUCACCAGUUUUCAUAUUUAUGACUAAACUUCACAAAUUAAGCAGAUUACUGGGAACCAGUCAAACUGGUAAAGAUCGGCCUCUGUAAGUGUACCAUGCACAACCUCUUUCAUCCUUCACGUACGUCAACAAGGGAAACCUCUCCUCUCUUUUAACUUCAACCUCUUUGACCACCACCACUCUACCGCUGCAGAUUACUAGGGUGGAGCCCGUGGAGAUGCAUGAACUUAAAGAUCAAAACUGGUACAAAUUAAAAUCUAAAAAACGGUAUAAUUAUAAUUAGAUUAAAGGUAUAAUAAUGAAAACCUUGUUAUACAAGUUGUUUAAAAAGGUUAGCCUUUUAAGACUACAGGCAAGGGCAAAGAAUCAAAUCCCGUCAUGUGUGCGUCAUGUAGGCAGAGCGGGCUUUGCCCUCCUAAAACAAAAAAAAAAAAAAAA